This 399-nucleotide long non-coding RNA is filed under the name Rosa chinensis. RNAcentral's name for it is "sRNA RchiOBHm_Chr7g0216991". The record is from RNAcentral. Lineage: Eukaryota; Viridiplantae; Streptophyta; Magnoliopsida; Rosales; Rosaceae.
CCGGGCCGGGGCGUCAGUUUUCGUUGGUCCAGGUAUUCAGCUCAAGCAUGAAGUGUCACUCUGUGUCGAGUCAGAAGCGCUUUUAAGUCGGAAAGCAGUGAAGAGCAGAAGACUCUGUGAGCCCUGAGAAACCCGCCUUGGUGAACUUUUGUCUUCUUCCGUCCUCCACCGUCCACCGGCGUUAAACAAUUUUUGGACUCGGCCUGACGGAGACCCGCCGCUGCCGUUUCCGAAACGGUUCAACGUUCCCAUGUUACCCGGGUAACAAAUUCAGUUCCUUUCCAUCUAUCUCUGCGCUUCCGUUUUCGACUUUCCACCUACAUUUCCAGACCCAAAGCCCUAACUCUAAAACGACGCCGUUCCGCCCUUCUAGCUUCUCCACCGGCUGCGAAUUUACCC